Molecule: ribosomal RNA, 393 nt
Filed under: uncultured bacterium
Lineage: Bacteria
Description: partial 16S ribosomal RNA
Rfam family: Bacterial small subunit ribosomal RNA
Source: RNAcentral
AUACGGAGGAUCCGAGCGUUAUCCGGAUUUAUUGGGUUUAAAGGGAGCGUAGGCGGACUAUUAAGUCAGCUGUGAAAGUUUGCGGCUCAACCGUAAAAUUGCAGUUGAUACUGGUCGUCUUGAGUGCAGUAGAGGUAGGCGGAAUUCGUGGUGUAGCGGUGAAAUGCUUAGAUAUCACGAAGAACUCCGAUUGCGAAGGCAGAUUACUGGACUGUAACUGACGCUGAUGCUCGAAAGUGUGGGUAUCAAACAGGAUUAGGUACCCUGGUAGUCCACACAGUAAACGAUGGAUACUCGCUGUUUGCGAUAUACGGCAAGCGGCCAAGCGAAAGCAUUAAGUAUUCCACCUGGGGAGUACGCCGGCAACGGUGAAACUCAAAGGAAUUGACGGGG